This 509-nucleotide ribosomal RNA is filed under the name uncultured organism. RNAcentral describes it as "SSU rRNA". It matches the Rfam family "Bacterial small subunit ribosomal RNA", at positions 8 to 509 of the family's 1533-position model. The record is from RNAcentral.
AGAGUUUGAUCCUGGCUCAGGAUGAACGCUGGCGGCGUGCUUAACACAUGCAAGUCGAACGAAGAAAUACGGGAUGAGAGCUUCGGCAGGAUUUCUGUAUGCUCUUAGUGGCGGACGGGUGAGUAACGCGUGGGCAACCUGCCCUUUACAGGGGAAUAAUCACUGGAAACGGUGACUAAUACCGCAUGUCACCGAGGAAUGGCAUCAUUUUUCGGGAAAAAGGAGCAAUCCGGUAAAGGAUGGGCCCGCGUCUGAUUAGCUAGUUGGUGGGGUAACGGCCUACCAAGGCGACGAUCAGUAGCCGACCUGAGAGGGUGAUCGGCCACAUUGGGACUGAGACACGGCCCAAACUCCUACGGGAGGCAGCAGUGGGGAAUAUUGCACAAUGGGGGGAACCCUGAUGCAGCAACGCCGCGUGAAGGAAGAAGGUUUUCGGAUCGUAAACUUCUAUCAACAGGGACGAAGAAAGUGACGGUACCUGAAUAAGAAGCCCCGGCUAACUACGUGCC